This 506-nucleotide ribosomal RNA is filed under the name uncultured Glomeromycotina. RNAcentral describes it as "partial small subunit ribosomal RNA". It matches the Rfam family "Eukaryotic small subunit ribosomal RNA", at positions 591 to 1092 of the family's 1831-position model. The record is from RNAcentral. Lineage: Eukaryota; Fungi; Glomeromycota.
CCAAUAGCGUAUAUUAAAGUUGUUGCAGUUAAAAAGCUCGUAGUUGAAUUUCGGGAUUGACACGUCGGUCGUGCCUUAAGGGGUAUGAACUGGCGUAGUCAAUUUCUCACCUUCUGGAGAACCGCGCUGUCCUUAAUUGGGUGACGCGGGGAACCAGGACCUUUACUUUGAAAAAAUUAGAGUGUUUAAAGCAGGCAUUUUGCUUGAAUACAUUAGCAUGGAAUAAUAAAAUAGGACGGCAUGAUUCUAUUUUGUUGGUUUCUAGGAUCACCGUAAUGAUUAAUAGGGAUAGUUGGGGGCAUUAGUAUUCAAUUGGCAGAGGUGAAAUGCUUGGAUUUAUUGAAGACUAACUACUGCGAAAGCAUUUGCCAAGGAUGUUUUCAUUAAUCAAGAACGAAAGUUAGGGGAUCGAAGACGAUCAGAUACCGUCGUAGUCUUAACCAUAAACUACGCCGACUAGGAAUCAGACGAUGUUAAUUUUUUAAUGACUCGUUUGGCACCUUACG